RNAcentral lists this ribosomal RNA (497 nucleotides) under uncultured bacterium. RNAcentral's name for it is "partial 16S ribosomal RNA". It matches the Rfam family "Bacterial small subunit ribosomal RNA", at positions 28 to 507 of the family's 1533-position model. The record is from RNAcentral.
GAUGAACGCUGGCGGCGUGCCUAAUACAUGCAAGUCGAGCGAACGGACGAGAAGCUUGCUUCUCUGAUGUUUGCGGCGGACGGGUGAGUAACACGUGGAUCACCUACCUAUAAGACUGGGAUCACUUCGGGACACCGGCGCUAAUACCGGAUAAUAUUUUGAACCGCAUGGUUCAAAAGUGAAAGACGGUCUUGCUGUCACUUAUAGAUGCAUCCGCGCUGCAUUAGCUAGUUGGUAAGGUAACGGCUUACCAAGGCAACGAUGCAUAGCCGACCUGAGAGGGUGAUCGGCCACACUGGAACUGAGACACGGUCCAGACUCCUACAGGAGGCAGCAGUAGGGAAUCUUCCGCAAUGGGCGAAAGCCUGACGGUGCAACGCCGCGUGAGUGAUUAAGGUCUUCGGAUCGUAAAACUCUGUUAUUAGGGAAGAACAUAUGUGUAAGUAACUGUGCACAUCUUGACGGUACCUAAUCAGAAAGCCACGGCUAACUACGUG